UGAAUAGGGACAGUCACUUUCUUUGUAACUUUAUUCCUGUUGAAUUCACCCGAUUUGAUAAUCUACAAGAAACCAUCAAAAGAAACAUUAUAAUCAUGCAUGCUAGCCACCACCAUCGCCAAGCUUCUACACUUCAACAUUUAUCACACUAAAAGAAUUAAAUAAAAAAAAUAAAAUAAUGAAAAUAGAAAAAUAUAAAAUUUAUUCUGUAAAUUACAUUUUCUAAUUCGUCUAUAUUCCUGGGUGCUGAUCUUGGCAUGGUCCACACAAAGCCACAACAUUAUAGCCUCCACUGUUGUUGCCAUCCAAACCCCAAUGGGUGAUUGGGUGGUCCUGCCUCGUCUAUAUGCUAGUGAUAAAUUACACAAGCAAACAAUCUGUAAUUCUGAAACUUGCUCUUCAACCAAAUAAAUACUAGUAUAGUAUACAUACAACAUUUGUCAAAAAAGAAGACACACCCCAACUCCCUUUCUCUGCUUCAAAAAAGCGUACUAUUAACUGAUAGUAAUUGCCUUUCGAUUAAAUAAUAAUAAUAGUAAUAAACCAUAACUUGAUCUUGAUCAUCUCUGUUUCACUCGAGUUAUGAUCUCACCAAAAUUGGAUACUUGAUUCCCAGUUUACCUUCAUCUUUACUAUCUCAUUACCAUUUGUAGAACCGCUCCUCUUGCUCCUUGAAUCUCUUCAAUACCCCAUCUAUGGCAACAUCAAAGGCAUCCUUUAUACUCUCUAAGCCUUCGUGAGGUCUCGCAUACACAAAUUUGGGUAUAUAAUCAAUCACCUUCUCUCUCAUUUUCCUUACCUCUUCUUUGCUGUAACUCUCAAGCACUUCCCGUACGGAAGUCCCAUUUUUUACCUCAUUCCGGUGUAUAAAAACAGAGUACCUCUCAGGUUCGCCCGGUAAGAACCAAUCGUACUGGUAAUAAGCGGUUCGUUUCCAGAACAAAACCGGAAUAGAACCCGCCAACAUGCAAUCAAAGAUGGACCUACGGGUGAAACUAUCGCCUCUCGGCUGCAAACAAAAAUCGGAAUUCAAAAACGUCUCGAGAAUCGCCGAGGUGCCGUUGGAGCAACGAGUCCCGGCACAAUCUACGACUCGACACGAGUCCGACUCAUUCUGGCAAUGGCUUAGCAACAGGCCUCUAAAAUCGUUCUUGAUAGCGCCGCGUUUCGCCCCGGCGAAGCAGAAGAGAUUCGUACGGUUCCUAGUACGGACAAACUCCUGCCACUGCAGGAUAUCCGAGUCCGAUCUGGGGUGGAAGCCGGUGGGGUAAGGAACACCAACAUCGAAAUAGUCCCACGGAUUUCGUUCAAUCAAGAGGCGAGUAAUGUUUCUCAUACCUGGCAUGUAAAUGCAGCUUGACCCCCAAUCCUGAUCUUUCGACCGUCGAAAAUCCCACGAGAUACGCCCCAUGGUGAUGAAGUGAUUCCAGCCGUUCGAUUUCUUGUAGUAUGGUUGAUCUUGGACCCACGUCAGCAUCAUCUCGCAGAGCCGAUCACGGUCUUUGGCAGUGCAAUUAUGCCACAAAAACUUGCCUACGGCUAAUCCUGCAUAAAAAGGAAUGUAAAACGCCGUCGCAUUAUUUGGCUCUGUCGUCCUGCACUUGUGCCUCAAAAUCCGAUUGUGGAAGAUAAUCUCCGAGACGAAUUGAUCAGUCCAAUACCAUGCGGGAGCCAGACUUUCCGGCACAAGCCCCGAAAGCCCGGUGGCUUUCUGGCCAAAACCGUCAUUAGCCAAGGCAUCGCACCUGGAACUCCAUGGGUUCAACUCGUCGCAGUUUCGAAUCAAUUCAGUGUUGAACCUGCUGGGGAGAUCGUAGACAAAGACUCUUCCUGAUCCACAUUCAUCUUCAUCAGUAGUUGCUGCUGCAGAGGGGCUGAUAUUGAUGAUGGUUUUGGCAGAGAUGUUGAGAUGGUCAGUAUACGGGGAGGGGAAAUGUUGGCGGUGGGGAAAAGAGAAAGGAAUUGAGCGGAGACCAAGGAGGAGAAUGAUCUGGAUGGAGAGGAUGGAGAGGAGUAGCCAUGCGCGGGAUUGAUUAAAGUAAGAAUUCGCAAGGAGAGAAUUAAGGGAGUUAAGCGAGCUCUUGCGAGGAAGGACUUCGUACGGCUGGCUUUUGGGUUUUCUGAUAUAGGGUUCCGGUGAGGAUGGACUGGAAAUGGAAAGCAUCAGGAAAGGGAAGAUUCAGUUUAGAACUUGAUUUUCCCGGCAGGGACUGAACCGGAAAAACAGGUGCGUAUACAGCCAAAAAUGAAAGCGUUCUAGUUUAUAUCCGUACCCGAAAAACCAGUGGCGGUGAGAGACAGAGAGCGGGUAAGGUGGGGCGUUUAUUGCUGCUCUGUGUUAUGAGCUUUUUCGAGGUUUUUGUACAGAGAGAUGCAGUAAGGAUUCGGUGAUAAAAGGUAAGAGACAGAUGGGAAGGGUUAAGCACGUGCACGUGUACGAUUAGAUUACGGCAGCGUAGGCAACCGACAAGGAAUUCAGGCAUUCAGCCGUUAUAAGUAACGGGCACGUGGCUGUAUCAUCUCGGGGCAACUGUGAAUAGCUGGGUAAUUUGGUCCCUUUAAAUUUCAAUCAACUACUUUUUCCACAGAAAUUCUAACAUGUGAACGCUGAACAGAAAUCAAACGUAUAAACGGUAAUUUCAUCGCAAUGAUUAACGACGCUUAUGACUGCAAACUGGCCCGAAUUCCUGUUUGUUUUAUAUAUAUAUAUGGAACAGAAAUUCUCAAAUACGGUUUAAGAAAUUAGUUUGCAACAAAAAAGAUUUGUUUAGAAUAAAAAUGAAAAAAAG
Molecule: unclassified non-coding RNA, 2789 nt
Filed under: Hevea brasiliensis (rubber tree)
Lineage: Eukaryota; Viridiplantae; Streptophyta; Magnoliopsida; Malpighiales; Euphorbiaceae
Source: RNAcentral